This 2978-nucleotide long non-coding RNA is filed under the name Varroa destructor (honeybee mite). Its description in RNAcentral is "uncharacterized LOC111250256, transcript variant X2". The record is from RNAcentral. Lineage: Eukaryota; Metazoa; Arthropoda; Arachnida; Mesostigmata; Varroidae.
AUUAAGAUGAUGACGAUGUCCACUAGAGGACGUUUGAGAAACGUUUUCGCCACCCAUCGCCGUUGUCUUUUGCGUGACAACUCAAAAACAGAAUGUAGGACGCGACUGAACCCAAUUUGACCUUUUCUCUCUUCUUGAACGUCGUAAUGUCGCGGCAACGAGCAAUAACUCUGUAGACUGAACGGCGGUAACAAAAGCAGCAGUAACUGUAACCCAACGGCUAUAGAGGGCAAAUAUCAAGCCACACACAAUAGAAACGACGGCGACCACACUUCUGCCAUUAGGUCAAUAGAAGGGUCCGUCCGACAGGCGUCGCAGCAGAGCUAGGUUGAGGUUCAAAGGAUCUAAGGAAGGAAAGACCUGAAAGAAAGGGCAUCUGACUCUUACUUUCCACUUCGUAUGUUGCCAACAGCUCUGAAAUAUUGCAAGCGUUACGGCGGUGGUCAGCCAUACAUCGUAUAGCAUAUAUCCAAGUUCUCGCGCUGGGUUACGAAUCACCUUGAGGGCCUGUCAGGCAAACCAUCGGGGGGCAAUUUCGCCCCUUGUCUGAGUCAUAUAACUAAUUCCUCGUUCUGUCAUAUUGACAAUCCCAAGCUAAGUAACGUUACCAGAAGAACUAAAUCAACUAUGAGCACGGGUUUAGUGUAAAUAUACGGCUACGCAAAUGAGGGUCGUUUACAUCGCUGAAUUAAGAUUAUUCGUCAACAGAAUGAGAUUAACGAAGUAAUUUACGCUUACUAGAAAUUUAAAAUUGACUUCAUUGGGAACCCGGGCCGCAUGUAUUAAUCUUCAAUGAUCAUAUCAGGCAUUUUAAAGGCAGCAUAAAAUGGCCGUAUCAGCUAUAUAUGUUUUAAUUAUCUACAAUAUUUUACUGCCUAUCCUACUUUCCCAAGCAAGAAAGCAUUCAAACAUAUUUCACACGUUUGCCAUGCCGUAUAUUCAGUAGCAUCAAAGACUGAACUCGGAAGGGUCACGAUUUAAUCAGCAUCGAGAAAUGCUUACAUCUUCUUCUAUUCAUUAAUCUUCUCCCUUAAAAUGAUCCCCACUAUAGGCUUACGUUGUUUGAAAUGAUUUAGUAGCAAAGUUUAAUGUUUUCUAAUUGAUUGAUUUUUCUAUGCUACAGUCCGAGCAGCAGCUCUCAAUCAAGGGCCAACCGUUGCUAUCGUACAGCCGAAGGUUGCAUAUGAAGGUGCUGCUAAACGACUGCAGUUAGGGUUACCUUGGUCCCCAAGCAAAGUUUUCUCGUUCCGUUGGGCGUCAUGGCUGAAAACUAUAGUGCUCCUUAAGGUUCCCUUUGCACCCUGUUGCGUAUUCAAGUCGGUAUGAGAAAGAGACGGAUCUAGACUCAGAGAGCUGUACUAACAACAACAGUAAACGUCUUGAAGCUUACAACGUUUCAAGCUGCAUCCCCGUCCAAGCAUGGCCACUUAACGGUAUUAUGGAUGAUUUGUUGCCGCAUUUUAUGAAGGUCUACUGUAAAUGGCCUCCAAUUCAUCUGAGUACAGUAUCUGUAGGGGGCGCCAGGGGAAGGUUUUCAUGCAUUCAUUUAUGCUUCCUGAUAGACGAGUUUGCACUACUAUACGUCUUCAAGGUUUUUCUAAGAAAUGUCAAAAAUGCUUGUGAGAGUGAUGAUGUCAUCAAGUAUCGCACCGGGGUUGUUGCGGCGAAUUUCGAAGAUUUUCCCGUAAGUAUUGAAGCUUAAAAACGUCGAGUAAAAACGAGUCUGAAUCCGUGAGUCGUAGUGAGCGUGGUACGGCCGGGAGGCCCAAUGAACGUUCAACAACACGCUAGAGAAGGCUUGACCCGAGCUUACAACGUGCGUCUGGGAGUUGCUGAUCUGGUUCGAGGUCUGCCAGCGGCGUAACCGAGACCCAGAGUGGCACGAUACUCUCCAUCUAAUUCCGGCUCAAUGACGCUCCUUUGAAAAAAUGAAGGAGCGAUCUUAUAAGGCCUUUUAAAGUUCUCAAGCGUUAAGGCUUUUCCAGUUUUGGUGUGGUCGAUUAUCGUAUCUCGUGUCAGUCCGGAGGGCGACAUCGGGUAUCGUGAUCCAAGCGCUAGAAGCUACGCAGUGUUUCUUCAGGAGCUUUGGCGCUAUCUUGACCAACGAAGCGAUAUGCUUCCCAUCAUGGCCGAUUGCAGACUACCUACAGCAGAAAUACAGCGGGCCUGAGCAGGACGCUGUUCGAACUGUCUUUCCGCUCUUGGGCCGUACUGCUCGGAAAGCUUUGUGGCUGUGGAAAUGCCAGAAGACAGAGUGUCGCGAAACAGCGCGCAUAAACUACUGCGGAACCGGCGACACCACAUAAAAGCGUGCUUUGAAUAUCGCUUCGAAUUCUCUGCCCCGCGGAAAUCUCCAAGAAGUUGCAGCCACUUUACCAUAUGCCACUUACUCUUGGGGGUCCAUGUCAUAAAGCUAUCGGGUUUAGGUACCCCCGCUGGCUAGGGAACAUACUCCGACAUCGCAGCCGAAUGUAAAGGUGCUGGAAGUGGUUUUCUAGUGCAAUUCUACCAGAGACCAUCAGGGGACUCAGUUAUUAUCCCAAGUACAGAGCUGGGUUCGUCUGCAUUAGCUUCAGGCUACUUCGAGAUGAAUAGAGCCAUCGUAAACAUUUUAUAGCGUGCCAACCCGUCAUUCUGUCCUGUCUUGCUGCUCGGACCCUACCUUUACGGUUCGUCGCUGUCGAAGCGCUUUUGGUUUUGGCCUGCUACCAUCAACAGUAGCAAGAGAACAUUAUCGUCACGGAAGCAAGCGCAUCUAGAGCUUAGCGGACGAUCCCCAGUAACGCUGCCAGCGGCUUCCGUGAAGCGAAGGGCCAGCCCAGACCCAAUGACGCGGCAGACAGGGAGGGAGAGAAGGUACGCGGAAGCUGAAUGAUUAUGCGCGCUGCUGCAUGGGUCACAAUAGAUGUACGAAAAGAGUCACUAAGCAGACGUGGGCCGUUGUGGAAGAGGUCAGCACUCCGUAUUCUGGACGGCAC